AUCGGAACUCGAGGCGGGGCUGCUGGGUCUUCCAGGAGCGCCCAGACGCGGGCAGGUGGCCGCCGGUGGCCACAGGCCUGGGCAGGAUGGAAGCGCCCGCAGAGCGGGCGCUUCCACGUCUGCAGGCUCUGGCUCGGCCGCCGCCACCCAUAAGCUACGAGGAGGAGCUUUACGACUGCCUGGACUACUACUACCUGCGCGACUUCCCGGCCUGCGGGGCAGGGCGCAGCAAGGGCCGGACUCGGCGCGAGCAGGCGCUGCGCACCAACUGGCCUGCACCUGGCGGGCACGAGCGCAAGGUCGCGCAGAAGCUCCUCAAUGGCCAGCGCAAGCGCCGCCAGCGCCAGCUGCAUCCCAAGAUGCGCACUCGCCUCACCUGAGCCUGGGAUACCGAAGGACCUGUUCGAAGUAUUUACUGUAACUCCAACUGUAACUUGGUUCUGAGGAGGAGAGAAUCCAUGUUUGGUCAACAGAACUUUUCGCUGUCACUUAAGUUUACUGCUUCGAUAUCUUUUCCUUACUAAUUGAUUGUUAAUUAAGUAGUGCCCAAGUGGAUUAGCCUUUUUAGAGUUUAUUAAUUAAAAGAGAGCAGCAAGAAUGGCA
RNAcentral lists this long non-coding RNA (603 nucleotides) under Homo sapiens (human). Its description in RNAcentral is "non-protein coding lnc-NUPR2-1:1". The record is from RNAcentral. Lineage: Eukaryota; Metazoa; Chordata; Mammalia; Primates; Hominidae.